RNAcentral lists this ribosomal RNA (506 nucleotides) under uncultured bacterium. RNAcentral's name for it is "SSU rRNA". It matches the Rfam family "Bacterial small subunit ribosomal RNA", at positions 26 to 519 of the family's 1533-position model. The record is from RNAcentral.
AGGACGAACGCUGGCGGCGUGCCUAACACAUGCAAGUCGAGCGGAAAGGCCUCCUUCGGGAGGUACUCGAGCGGCGAACGGGUGAGUAACACGUGGGCAACCAACCCCUCACAUCGGGAUACCCCGGGGAAACUCGGAUCAAUACCGGAUAAUGCGCGACGCUGUUGGGCGUCGCACCAAAGGUAGCUUCGGCCUCUGGUGAGGGACGGGCCCGCGGCCCAUUAGCUUGUUGGUGGGGUAAUGGCCUACCAAGGCAACGAUGGGUAGCUGGUCUGAGAGGAUGAUCAGCCACACUGGGACUGAGAUACGGCCCAGACCCCUACGGAGGCAGCAGUGGGGAAUAUUGCGCAAUGGGCGGAAGCCUGACGCAGCAACGCCGCGUGCGGGAGGAAGGCCUUCGGGUCGUAAACCGCUUUCGAGGGGGACGAAGCCACCGAGGGUUAAUAGCCCAUGGGGUGACGGUACUCCCAGAAGAAGCCCCGGCUAACUACGUGCCAGCAGCCGCC